GGUCGUUGGAAGCUGGGGAACUUGAGUGCCGAAGAGGACAGUGGAAUUCCACGUGUAGCGGUGAAAUGCGUAGAGAUGUGGAGGAACACCAGUGGCGAAGGCUACUCUCUGGUCUGUAACUGACGCUGAGGAGCGAAAGCGUGGGGAGCGAACAUUGAUUAGAUACCCUGGUAGUCCACGCCGUAAACGAUGAGUGCUAAGUGUUAGGGGGUUUCCGCCCCUUAGUGCUGCAACUAACGCAUUAAGCGCUCCGCCUGGGGAGUACGGUCGCAAGACUGAAACUCAAAGGAAUUGACGGGGGCCC
RNAcentral lists this ribosomal RNA (304 nucleotides) under Bacillus amyloliquefaciens. RNAcentral describes it as "bacterial SSU rRNA". It matches the Rfam family "Bacterial small subunit ribosomal RNA", at positions 621 to 922 of the family's 1533-position model. Lineage: Bacteria; Bacillati; Bacillota; Bacilli; Caryophanales; Bacillaceae. The record is from RNAcentral.